AGGAAGACAACACCCUAAACUCUUGCCACUGUUCAGUCUGUUAGUCUGUGUAUCAACAUGUCAGAUGCAACUUUAGAAGAUAAGGAUUUGAUUACCUGUUCAAUCUGUCUGGACCUACUGAAGGAUCCAGUGACUACUGCCUGUGGACACAGUUACUGUAUGGACUGUAUUAAUGACUGCUGGAAUCAGGAUGAUCUUAAAGGUAACUACAGCUGUCCCUUGUGCAUGGAAAGAUUCACCCCAAAACCUGUCCUGAAGAAAAACAUAUUACUGGCUGAAUUAGUGGAGAAACAGAAGAAGACAGGACUCAGAUCUACUCCUCCUGCUCUCUGUUAUGCUGUACCUGGAGAUGUGGAGUGUGACUUAUGCACUGGGAGAAAACUCAAAGCAGUCCAGUCCUGUCUGGUGUGUCUUGCCUCUUACUGUAAGACUCACCUCCAGCCUCACUAUGAUUCCCCUGCCUUUAAGAAGCACAAAAAGAAGCUUGUCGAAGCCUCCACACAACUACAGGAAAAGAUCUUCCCUCAUCAUGACAGUCUGCUGGAUGAUUACUGCUGUACUCAUCCACAGUGUAUCUUUCUGCUGUUUGUGAUGGAUGAACAUACAGGCCAUGAUACAGUUUCAGCAGAAAGGAGAAAGAAACAGAAGCAGAGGAGACCCGGACAUCGCUAUGCAACCCAGGUCAUGAGGCCACAACAUUUUCAGUACAUGCAACUGACCAUGAAGCCCACCUUCCAGGCUGCAGCGCCUUGCAUGUUUUCCACUCAGCACACGGCCGGUCGGAACAUGGUCCUCUGCUUAUUUAUUAGUAUUAUUUUGUUUGUUUGGUUGUUUUUACUGUGAAGAGUUGAAAUAGUAGAAUACAUAAGGCACCAUUUUGAAAUGUCGUAGUGUACAGCAGUUUACCUUGUUAUGUCAGUCACUGUCAGACCUACGCAAGCUAUUUACUAGGCCUACCUGUCAGAAAUGCCCAGUUGAUCAAUGUAGUGACAGAGGCAGGACAAGCAGGGCCCGUGUGCAAAAUAUUUAUCACAGUGGGGGCACAACCAAAUCUCGCCAGGGGCCCCCAAGAAACAGGCCAGUGGAACAGAAGCAAAUGCUGGGCGAGCGCCUCUUCCCGCUCAACCAGAAUAUGCACUCCAGCCUGACUGGAAAGAUUGACAUGUUGCUGGAGAGUCUCCAGAGUCUCUCCUCGUCCAGUUGGAUGAAGCCAUGGCAGUGCUGCAGGUUUACCAGAGAUGAUGAACUACUCAUCUGGUGUUCCAAAUGUCUAAUAAGCCACUGAAUUGGGAACCUUGAAUCUCACUUGACUGAGGAAAAACAUAACAUUGAAAAAUAACUCAAACAUAAAACAAUGCAAGAAAAAUGAAACAAUAUUUUUAAGAAAUGAAAAGGAAAUACCUUGAUUAAGCUUUGACUAGGCAAUAAAAAAGGUAAAUGGUUCAAAUAAAAAAUCUUAAAGUAUAGGAUUUUAAGAAUUAUGACAGAAAAUGAAAUUACUGAAGUAAUGCCUGGGAUAUCAAAGCCAUGACAUUGUUAAAUGCACAUUUACUUUGCUUUCAUGAAUAACAUUUUUUUAUAUAUAUUAUAUUUUAUAAAGUGGCGUUGAUGUAGGAUUAGGGGGACUACUCCCUGGUCUAUAAAGCCAGGGUGAAGUUGCCUCUAGACACUGGUCUAUAAAGCCAGGGUGAAGUUGCCUCUAGACACUGGUCUAUAAAGCCAGGGUGAAGUUGCCUCUAGACACUGGUCUAUAAAGCCAGGGUGAAGUUGCCUCUAGACACUGGUCUAUAAAGCCAGGGUGAAGUUGCCUCUAGACACUGGUCUAUAAAGCCAGGGUGAAGUUGCCUCUAGACACUGGUCUAUAAAGCCAGGGUGAAGUUGCCUCUAGACACUGGUCUAUAAAGCCAGGGUGAAGUUGCCUCUAGACACUGGUCUAUAAAGCCAGGGUGAAGUUGCCUCUAGACACUGGUCUUUGGUCAGUUGGUCAUUUGGUAAUUUGUCAGCAAAAGGCAGUAGGAUGACGUGUACCAUUGCACAGACCACAGACCCUCUAUCCAGAUCAUAUGUGAGUAUACUGAGACCUAUUUAGUGAUCAAGAAAUUGUGAGCUUCUGCUGGUGGGCCUUUUCUAUAUCCAGGGCAAGUUAAGGGUUGCGGUCGAAGUAUGGUUUAAGACUGAAUGUUAAAUCGUUUGGACUGUUGUUCUCUCUCCUCUCUCCCUCCCUCUCCCCACCCCCCUCACGGAAAACUAUGAAAAUGUAAUAUUAUUUUAACAAACUCUACCAUUUUAUUCAUUGUAUAUGACAUGUCAUUGUGUAAAAUAAAUACAUGAAGUAUUCUA
Molecule: long non-coding RNA, 2340 nt
Organism: Oncorhynchus keta (chum salmon)
Lineage: Eukaryota; Metazoa; Chordata; Actinopteri; Salmoniformes; Salmonidae
Exons: 2
Source: RefSeq, a predicted model, not a curated record